CUACGGAGGGUCCAAGCGUUAUCCGGAUUCAUUGGGUUUAAAGGGUCCGCAGGCGGGAAAAUAAGUCAGUGGUGAAAGCCUACAGCUCAACUGUAGAACUGCCAUUGAUACUGUUUUUCUUGAGUAUAGAUGAAGUGGGCGGAAUAUAUCAUGUAGCGGUGAAAUGCAUAGAUAUGAUAUAGAACACCGAUUGCGAAGGCAGCUCACUAAACUAUUACUGACGCUCAGGGACGAAAGCGUGGGGAGCGAACAGGAUUAGAUACCCUAGUAGUCC
RNAcentral lists this ribosomal RNA (274 nucleotides) under uncultured bacterium. RNAcentral describes it as "partial 16S ribosomal RNA". It matches the Rfam family "Bacterial small subunit ribosomal RNA", at positions 523 to 796 of the family's 1533-position model. The record is from RNAcentral.